Molecule: long non-coding RNA, 3055 nt
Organism: Syngnathoides biaculeatus (alligator pipefish)
Lineage: Eukaryota; Metazoa; Chordata; Actinopteri; Syngnathiformes; Syngnathidae
Exons: 6
Source: RefSeq, a predicted model, not a curated record
GAGAACCUGGAGAAAACAUAGACGGCGAGCACAGGAGGGAGAUGCCAACUUCACACUAACGACGUUUGCGGAAGGAAUCGGCAGCAGCGGCGCAGAGAAUCUCCCCCGUGGCCGUCCGUGUGCUACCAGGCCACAUCUUAACGUCGAAAGCCGAAAGCGUCCGCGUCUGGUCGAGGGGCCACGAGAAGAAUUGCGGCGGCCUGGCAACUAUUUUGAUGGACGUUGCCAGGGACAAAAAAAAAAACAUAAUUGCACGACCUGUACGAACUCUCCGAAAAGUUCGAGCGCGGGCAGACGCAUGGGCUGCAUUCACGCCGUCAGCUGCCUGAUGCGCGUCACAGGUCCGUCCGACUGGCUUCGGGAAGCGUGAGACCAGAACACGUCUGCGUUGGGAUAGACGUAGCUGAACGUGCAGACGGGACCGUCCUCGGACAUGACGCCUUUGGCCGCCCCGCAGCACUCUGUGGAGCAGACCAUCCAACUGGAAUCAGUGCGAGCGCUUGUGCCAAACUCAAAACAAUGAAUUGAUGAAGACUUUCCAGUUUUAAAGUAGCAGUAACAGUUUCAGUACAGUAACAUGUCUCUUCAAAAGUGCUUCCUUCGUUCUGGGUCUUUUUUUUUUUAAAGUCAUAAUCAGGACAAGCCGAAAGGAAAUGAAGAAGGUCUGUAACUGCAGUAAGUGAUUAAAUUAUACUAAAUCAAUUGUAUUUUUACAUGGUUUUACCAUCCAUAACAAGGUAUUUGAAAGUUAUUUUGAUCCUCUUGAACAUUUUGCAUGUGUCCAGAAAUCGUCCGUUCUACUUUCCCCUUGAAGAAUUCCUCUAACAUUAUAACCGGGAUUCUGUCUUUUUUUUUUUUUUUUUGAUUUUUUUUUUAAUAGAGGCUAAAGCAGUGAAUUCUUGCAGAAUAGAUUUCAUAUCAAUGUCAUAAACUGAAUAUGAGGUUCAAUUUAAAAACUAAUAAUAUUGAUGGCGAGGAGAAGAACCGCCACUGGCCCGAGGACUGGCUGGCGACCAGUCCGGUGUGUAUCCGGAUCGUGAUCAUCAGCUUUUAACUUCCAUCGAUUUCCCACUUAAAAGGCUCAUUUUAUGUUUAUGGGUUUCCAUUUCAUUCACGAGGGGAGAAAAUCCUUUAACGGCACUUACAAUUGCAACAAAACCAAUAAAUUUGGCGGCACGGGGACGACUGAUGACUAACGUUCCAAUGAUCCAGCAGUUUAGGCCACCAAAUAUGUCACUUGCAAUGAAACUUUAGAAAAUACCGAGAAGAACUCCAAAUAUUUGACCAGUUAUCAGUUCGCCUAAACGUGAAGUUAACAUACUGUCCGCACUCGCAGGAUUAUGAUUAAGAUUGAAUAUGUAUUAGGACGAAUACUAUGGAAGUAGAUUAGUGCCACCAGGAUUUGAAUUUGAAAUAUAAAGUGAUCACAUUUUCAAUAGUUGUAUUUCAGGGCAACUUUUCAAUGUUAACAAUUCAACUGGCUAAAAUUCACCGUCUGUGCCACCAGGCAGGGUUACUUCAGGUCAGAACCGAACAGCCAGCCAAUCCAGUUACAACUUUCUUAGUAUGUGAUGUCACGUGACAAAGAAAGCAGAACUGCGAUUGGCUGGGUGUUCUGCCUGGUGGCACAGACGGCGAAUUUUUCAAUUUCAACUAUUGAAAAUGUGAUCACUUUACGUUUCAAAUUGAAAUCCUGAUGGCACUAAUCUACUUCCAUAGAAUACCCAUAGCUUUUUUUUUGUGUGAAAAAUGUGCAAUUACUUCCUGAGGUGACAUGCACGCUAAAAUGACAGCGUUAUGUGACGUCACGCUCAUUCGACCCCGCCCACUAUUGCUAUUUUGAAAGUAGUCCAGGGACGCUUUGUCCAAUGCACUUCCCUGAUUAAAAGCAAUAAAAGCAUCAUAUCACGGAGGAUUUGGUCACGGUAUAUUGAUUAAUAUAUUCUUGGAGGUAUUUCAUGUGGCAUUUGAGCCAAUGUGGUAGUCGUGUAUGGCACUUGAGAGCAAAUUUCUGUCCACAAAACAAGCAAAUGUUUGCUAAUGCUAACGCGAUUUAGCAUUGGGCCUGGUUGAACCAAUGCGGCCCAUUUUCAACCUGUUGGAGAGCCAGCGAUGACGGCACGCAAAUUACCGAAAUCGUGCUCCUCGUCUGCCGCGAAAUGCACCCAAAGAAAGUCGCCGUCUCACGUUGCCGGAGACGACGAGCCACCACGAAAGUCCAUUUCCGGCAAUUACACACUUGUCAGCCCCGUGCGCAAAAGGGCGGUAUUUAUGGCGCAUUAGCACGAGCCCCGGCGAUUAAGAAGAACGUCGUGUGCGGCGGGAUUUAGCGGCGGAUUGUGCUCGGUGACCUCUGCAGACGAGACUGGUGCGGCGUCAAACUGACGAGUGAAAGAGCAAGCGAAAGAGACGAUCUCCGCUCCAGCGAAACGACGCCUAUUCACGGCUUCUUAUUCCCGAAUUCACCUGCGGGGGGCACCUUCACUCACGAUCGCGUCGACUUCAAGGGAGAUUUUGCGGUGAAAAAAAGAAAAAGAAUUAAAAAAAAUGUCUUUUGUUAUGUGUUAAAACGGUCUGUAUUACCAGAUAGUAAAAUAUUUUUAAAUGAUCUUUUUUAAAUGAUCAUCCGGCUCCAUCUAAUGCCUGAAAUGAAAAGCAGCAGUCAAAUAUUGUCAACAGUUUGUCCCCAUAAGAGUUUUUUAUAAGCCAUCGCUCUGUCCUCUUUUCUUUUUUUUCUUUUUCUUCGUUGUGACAAGCCAAUUUUUUUUUUUUUUUUCCCCCAUGAGCAAGCUUCAGGUGCAAAAUUGCCAGAUGGCAGCAACGAACACCACAGCAUCUGCCCGGCAUCCCAUAAUUUGAGAUAUUUGUGCAGUUUCAAUUGGACUCUGCGAAAAUCUGCUGCUAAUUGAUCCCAUGUAUAAAGACUUUUUUAAUUGCUUGUAAAUAAUGUAAGAUUAUGACAAAGCUUUCUUUCUUUUCCCUUUCUAUUAGACAAUGCUAUGGCCUCAUUAAUUGAAGCUCCUCCCCUGUGAUCUACAUUGUGGUUUGCCACAAG